RNAcentral lists this ribosomal RNA (1515 nucleotides) under Salmonella enterica subsp. enterica serovar Newport. RNAcentral's name for it is "partial 23S ribosomal RNA". It matches the Rfam family "Bacterial large subunit ribosomal RNA", at positions 1281 to 2779 of the family's 2925-position model. The record is from RNAcentral. Lineage: Bacteria; Pseudomonadati; Pseudomonadota; Gammaproteobacteria; Enterobacterales; Enterobacteriaceae.
AUCAGAAGUGCGAAUGCUGACAUAAGUAACGAUAAAGCGGGUGAAAAGCCCGCUCGCCGGAAGACCAAGGGUUCCUGUCCAACGUUAAUCGGGGCAGGGUGAGUCGACCCCUAAGGCGAGGCCGAAAGGCGUAGUCGAUGGGAAACGGGUUAAUAUUCCCGUACUUGGUGUUACUGCGAAGGGGGGACGGAGAAGGCUAUGUUGGCCGGGCGACGGUUGUCCCGGUUUAAGCGUGUAGGUGUGUGUUCCAGGUAAAUCCGGUUCACUUUAACACUGAGGCGUGAUGACGAGGCACUACGGUGCUGAAGCAACAAAUGCCCUGCUUCCAGGAAAAGCCUCUAAGCAUCAGGUAACAUCAAAUCGUACCCCAAACCGACACAGGUGGUCAGGUAGAGAAUACCAAGGCGCUUGAGAGAACUCGGGUGAAGGAACUAGGCAAAAUGGUGCCGUAACUUCGGGAGAAGGCACGCUGACACGUAGGUGAAGUGAUUUACUCAUGGAGCUGAAGUCAGUCGAAGAUACCAGCUGGCUGCAACUGUUUAUUAAAAACACAGCACUGUGCAAACACGAAAGUGGACGUAUACGGUGUGACGCCUGCCCGGUGCCGGAAGGUUAAUUGAUGGGGUCAGCGCAAGCGAAGCUCCUGAUCGAAGCCCCGGUAAACGGCGGCCGUAACUAUAACGGUCCUAAGGUAGCGAAAUUCCUUGUCGGGUAAGUUCCGACCUGCACGAAUGGCGUAAUGAUGGCCAGGCUGUCUCCACCCGAGACUCAGUGAAAUUGAACUCGCUGUGAAGAUGCAGUGUACCCGCGGCAAGACGGAAAGACCCCGUGAACCUUUACUAUAGCUUGACACUGAACAUUGAGCCUUGAUGUGUAGGAUAGGUGGGAGGCUUUGAAGCGUGGACGCCAGUCUGCGUGGAGCCGACCUUGAAAUACCACCCUUUAAUGUUUGAUGUUCUAACGUGGACCCGUGAUCCGGGUUGCGGACAGUGUCUGGUGGGUAGUUUGACUGGGGCGGUCUCCUCCUAAAGAGUAACGGAGGAGCACGAAGGUUGGCUAAUCCUGGUCGGACAUCAGGAGGUUAGUGCAAUGGCAUAAGCCAGCUUGACUGCGAGCGUGACGGCGCGAGCAGGUGCGAAAGCAGGUCAUAGUGAUCCGGUGGUUCUGAAUGGAAGGGCCAUCGCUCAACGGAUAAAAGGUACUCCGGGGAUAACAGGCUGAUACCGCCCAAGAGUUCAUAUCGACGGCGGUGUUUGGCACCUCGAUGUCGGCUCAUCACAUCCUGGGGCUGAAGUAGGUCCCAAGGGUAUGGCUGUUCGCCAUUUAAAGUGGUACGCGAGCUGGGUUUAGAACGUCGUGAGACAGUUCGGUCCCUAUCUGCCGUGGGCGCUGGAGAACUGAGGGGGGCUGCUCCUAGUACGAGAGGACCGGAGUGGACGCAUCACUGGUGUUCGGGUUGUCAUGCCAAUGGCACUGCCCGGUAGCUAAAUGCGGAAGAGAUAAGUGCUGAAAGCA